Non-coding RNA from Corylus avellana, 625 nucleotides. The record is from RefSeq and is a predicted model, not a curated record. NCBI's taxonomy places the organism in Eukaryota, Viridiplantae, Streptophyta, Magnoliopsida, Fagales, Betulaceae.
UAACAGCCAAAAUGGUUCUUAUCCCUCCACAAAUAUAUAAUAUAGGACUGGAUGUAUAUCAUUCUUUAAGAUAAUUUCUUGUGUAUGCUUUGUUGACAAUUGUCUUAAUCAGUCCCUCCGGCAUAAAUUUGAUGGAUUGGAUGGAUUCUUGCUAUGGAACAGGUUUCCCUUUGGGAUGGUAUUAUACCAUCUCAAGAACAUGCCAAGUUUUGGAUUCAUACCACGAACAAGUACCGCUUUGCUGAUCAGGGAAGCAAUCUACGGGGUAAAGAGUUUAACUUGACUUUGCACUGGCAUGUCAUGCCCAAAACUGGUAAGAUGUUUGCGGACAAAAUAGUUAUGACGGGAUACCGUCUGCCGGAGGAAUAUAGAUAAGGUGUCGAUGUCGAAUUUUGAUGUAAACAAUAAUCUUGUUGCAUGAGGAUGAUUGAGGUUGGCUUAACUUGAAGAUGAAGAAGGGAGAAUGUGCAAAAUCAGUGAAAAAAUUUUAUGAGGGACUUUGUUUCCUUGUUCGGAUAAUCAAGUAGUUCGGUCAACAUUGAAAGGCUGCUACUAUCUAACGGUCUAUUAUCCGAGUGUAAUUGAUGUAUUUUCUAAAUAAGUAACUCAUGAUUUUUUUGGUGGA